This 41-nucleotide ribosomal RNA is filed under the name Physalacria lateriparies. RNAcentral describes it as "partial 28S large subunit ribosomal RNA". Lineage: Eukaryota; Fungi; Basidiomycota; Agaricomycetes; Agaricales; Physalacriaceae. The record is from RNAcentral.
UCUUUUGACCUUUUGACCUCAAAUCAGGUAGGACUACCCGC